UACAGAGGGUGCGAGCGUUAAUCGGAAUUACUGGGCGUAAAGCGCGCGUAGGCGGUUUUGUAAGUCGGGUGUGAAAUCCCCAGGCUCAACCUGGGAACUGCAUUCGAGGCUGCAUAGCUAGAGUAUGGGAGAGGGAAGUGGAAUUUCAGGUGUAGCGGUGAAAUGCGUAGAUAUCUGAAGGAACAUCAGUGGCGAAAGCGACUUCCUGGACCAAUACUGACGCUGAGGAGCGAAAGCCAGGGGAGCAAACGGG
RNAcentral lists this ribosomal RNA (253 nucleotides) under uncultured bacterium. RNAcentral describes it as "partial 16S ribosomal RNA". It matches the Rfam family "Bacterial small subunit ribosomal RNA", at positions 524 to 776 of the family's 1533-position model. The record is from RNAcentral.